This 207-nucleotide ribosomal RNA is filed under the name uncultured bacterium. RNAcentral describes it as "partial 16S ribosomal RNA". It matches the Rfam family "Bacterial small subunit ribosomal RNA", at positions 568 to 774 of the family's 1533-position model. The record is from RNAcentral.
CGCGUAGGCGGCUCCAUAAGCGGGCGGUGAAAGCCCGGGGCUCAACCCCGGGUCGGCCGUGCGGACUGUGGGGCUGGAGCACUGUAGAGGCGGGUGGAAUUCCGGGUGUAGCGGUGGAAUGCGUAGAGAUCCGGAAGAACACCGGUGGCGAAGGCGGCCCGCUGGGCAGUGGCUGACGCUGAGGCGCGACAGCGUGGGGAGCAAACA